CGAUCCAGUACGCGUGCGCGCGCGUGCGCAACGCCUACCGGCUGGCCGGCCUCCGCCUGAGGAGGCGCUCCGACGCCGCUCCGGAGGCGAAGCUGAGGCGACGACGGGCAGGAGGAGCCGCCUCCCCCGGGCAAGCCCUCCGCGGGCGCUGCCAUGCUCCUUCCGCCGCAGCUGGGAGGCCGGGCCUGAGGAGCCGCAGCCGAGCCGCCCUCGGUGAGCAGGCCCGCCGCCGCCGCCUCCAUGGCCCAGGCCGAGAAGAUGGAGCUGGACCUGGAGCUGCCGCCGGCCGGGAGCGAGGGGGGCGGCCUGAGGCGCUCCAACAGCGCCCCGCUCAUCCACGGGCUCAGUGAUAAUUCCCAGGUCUUCCAGCCACACGUCUUGCGCACCCGCCGGAACAGCACAACGGUCGUGAACCGGCACAGCAUGCUGAUCUCUUCCUCUACAAUUCGUAUCCCCAGCAGCCGACUCCAUCAGAUCAGAAGGGAGGAAGGAGUGGAUUUGAUGAACAGAGAAGCGGCGCAUGAAAGGGAAGUCCAAGCAGCAAUGCAGAUAAGCCAAUCAUGGGAAGAAAGCUUGAGCCUGAGUGACAAUGACUUGGACAAAUCGGAAAAAUCCUCGUCUCCAAAGAGGAUAGACUUCAUUCCCGUCUCUCCGGCACCUUCGCCUACGAGGGGGAUUGGAAAGCAAUGCUUUUCUCCCUCCCUGCAAAUGUUUGUGAGUAGUAAUGGACUGCCUCCAAGCCCAAUUCCCAGCCCCACAAGGAGAUUUUCAAACAGGAGGAGCCAGAGUCCAAUCAACUGCAUCCGGCCCAGCGCUCUUGGUCCCAUCAAAAGGAAAGGUGAAAUGGAAACCGAAAGCCAGCCCAAGAGACUUUUCCAAGGAACCACCAACAUGCUUUCUCCUGACGCGACACACCUUUCUGACCUCAGCUCAUGCCUGCCCUCAGAUGCCCUCGACGGUUGCUCCAGCGGCGCCAGCCCCUCCACUGACUCACUGGCCAAAGGCGCCGCCUCUGGCGCUGCGGCGGAAUCGCCUGCCGCGCGAUCCGAACCUGCUUCCCCAUUCAUCUUGAUGGAAGACCUUUCCCCCAAGUGACUCGCCCUGCCGCCUGCCUGGAUGUCCGCCUGUGCCAUCCUUUUGCUAUACCCGCCUAUGGAGAAACCGGCGGCAUAAAAUCCCCAAGGGCAUCCGGAUUAGGAGUGCCGAGUGCGAAACACCCACGUCAACCCUCCUCGGCAAUGUCUCCAGGCAAUUUUAAUCCUCCUUUUAAUGGACGCGUCAGGCCCUGGCGCUGCCUGGCUUGCCGGUUUCCCUUUUAAUUCUUUUGCCAACGUCUGCUCGGUUUUCCUUUUAACUACAAAUUAUUUUGCGAAUGUAUCCUUGGAUCGGGACUUUCAAAGAAAUGACACCCACAUUUCGAAUUCCCGGAAAAGCAUCCAAUUUAUAUUCGCAUUAAAAAUGUCGGUGGGAAACCGGUCGCCGUCGCGAUCCCUUGUUCCGAAGAAAGGUUCGGCCUUGCUGGCAUCCUCCUAAUAUUGACAAGCAGAGGAAGGUUUCCUUUUUGGAAUCGUAAAUUUUCAGAGUAGCUUUUACAGUUCUAUCAAAAAUGACUGAUUUGGUUCUACUAUAAGAAAUACAUUGACAGAUAAGGAUGAAAUGAUGGUGAGGUUUAAUAAGUUCACUGUUUCCAUUUGGACAGCUUUUCUGCUGUACUUGAUUGGAAAGAGAAAAAGAAUUGUAGUCUCAAAACAUUUGGAGGGCCGAGGUUGAGGAAGCCUGCUUUGUACUAUAAUGUAACCUAAACAGAAAACUAUAGAAAGAUUCUUCCUCCAAAGACAUUUUAUUUCCAAAAUCCGAUUUAAAUAAAAAAAUCCUAUUUUAAAAAACAUUGAUCCACCCUGGUUGCAAUUUGCUGACAUGGCCCUCACACAGUGACUCGAUUAUAGGGUUGUUUUUUACGUUUCUUUACACAUUUACAUUUUUACACUCGGCCCCAAAACCUAUUUCGAAAUGACGACAAAAAGAUGCGUACCUAAUACGUAAGCCGCUACUAACUUUUGAUUCACACUUAAGUGGAGGUAGAGAGGCACAAGGGAACCCCCUUCUCCCAGCGUGGGAAGCAUGAGAGCCGCAAUGCACACGAUUCCGAGGAACACGGUGAGCAAACUCGGCCCCGAUGAGGCAAUUCUGUUUUCUGGAAAAAGGAAAAGGCAUUUGACACUAUGGAAAGGGGCAAUUCCUUUCCUUUCCUUUCUCUCCCCCCCCCUUAUUGAAUUUAGUAAAUAACAAAACAUUUUUUUAAAAUCUUUAUUAUAUUGCAAAGUAAAUACAUCAAAACAAAACCAUACAUAAAGAAUAAUAUCCAAUAAAACAGAAAGAAAAAAUAAAGAAAAAGAAAAAAUGCAAAGAAAAGUAGACAGAAAAGAAGAAUAAAGUAUCAUAUUUCAUUACAAUAAACACUGACUUACAAAAUAAUAAUAGACUUCCAUCACUCUCACAGCACUUCCUUUCACCUUUCAUAUUUUAUCUGUAUUUCAGUAUUAUUUUCAUCUGAACAUAUAAAUGUGUAUAUAUGUCUAUUUCCCCUUUUCCAUUCACCAGGUCAUUCUAGACACAGCCAAAUUUUUACAUUUGAACCUUGUCUUUCUAAGUAGUCAUUCAAGCAAUUCCAUUCCUCCUGGACUGUAUUCAUUGGCUUUAGUCUUAUUAUAUCCGUCCAUUUGGCCAGUUCCAAAUAUUCACAUAAUUUAUAUAGCCACUCCUCUUUGGUCAGUACCUGGUUACCCUUCCAGUACUUAGCCACUAGAAUUCUUGCCGCUGAUGUUGCAUACAGAAAAAAAAUGAGUUUUUUCUUUUGGAAUAUCACUGUUCAAUAUUCCCAAAAGAUAUGUUUCUGGUCUUUUACUUUGUGAAGUUCUUAGUAACUUUUUUAUUUAUUCAUGGAUCAUGUCCCAGAACUUUCUGAUCUCUGAACAUGUCUACCACAUAUGGUAGAAGGUUCCAAUCUGCUUUGUGCAUCUCCCAACACUUAUUACUAAGCGAUCUGUUCAUUUUAGCCAAUCUCUCCAGUGCUAAAUACCACCUAUGGUGCAUUUUCAGGUAAUUUUCUCUUAUUAAAUAACAUGCUGUAAAAUUUAUAUUUUUUGCCCCCAGUUUUUUGAAUGGUAUAACAUAGGCAUGUCCAACAGGUAAAUCUGAAAGCAUCUGAAGGCAGCCCUGUUUAGGGAAGUUUUUAAUAUUUAAUGCUGUGUUGUUUUUAACACUUGAUAGACUGGGGAAACUUAGCCAGAUGGGUGGGCUAUAAAUUAAUCAUCAUCAUCAUCAUCACUGGCUCCCCCCAAAGAAGCUCAAGAACUUUGGCUUCCCUAAAAAAGCUCAACAACUUAGACCUGAACCGGGGUAGAUCACUGCUAGUUCUUAACUUUGUGAGUAGAUCACAGUCUUGGCCACCCUAACAAAAAGUUCAAAUGAGAUCCACUUCAUUCCUAAACAUUUCAUUUCACCAAACAUUCUUGCUUUUAUUGACAUUGGGCUUCCCGUCAAAUCCACCCAGCCAGAAUGGCUAGGACUUCAGAGAUUGGAAACCUUUUUCAGCAGGGGGCCGGUCCACUGUCCCUCAGACCUUGUGGAGGGCUGGACUAGUGGGGGGGGGGGGGAAUGAACGAAUUUCUAUGCCCCACAAAUCACCCAGAGAUGCAUUUUCAAUAAAAGGACACAUUCUACUCAUGUCAAAACACGAUUCCCAGAUGGUCCGCCGACUGGAUUGAGAAAGCGAUUGGGCUGUAUCCGGCUCCUGGACCUUAGUUUGCCUACCUAUGGGCUAGGUUCGACCUCCAAUGGAGGAAAACAGUGUUCCUCUGAAUACCAAUUGCCAAAAACCACCAGCGGGGAGAGGGAUGCUCAGGUUCAGCUUUUGAGCUUCCCAUGAGGUGCAGGGGCCAGCAAAUUUUUUUUUGCUGCAGGCUUGUCCACUGUCUCUCAGACUUUGGGGAGGGCCAGAGAACCAGCACCAGGGAGGGUGGGAGCUGGAAGAAGAGGCGAGAAAGGUUCAACCUUGCUGGCAUCCUCUUCAUAUUGACAAGCAGAGGAAGGUUAAGCUUGUAAGGUGACUUGAUGUUACACCGUAAUCAUACUAUCAAAGAAGUAACUGCAGUGAUAAAUAAUAUGUAAUGGGAAUGAGAACUUAAAAGGACUCUCAAGGUGACAAGUGCUGGUGGAGGGGAGUCAAAUGGGUGUGCUCCUCCAUCUUUUCUUUCUUUCUCACCUUUUCCCUUUACUGUCUUUGGUUUUGGGGGGUGAAGUGUGUGUACCUGUUUGUUUGUUUGUAAAUAUUCUCAAAUAAAACAUUAAAAAGUCAAA
Podarcis raffonei (Aeolian wall lizard) is the source of this 4359-nucleotide RNA transcript. It is a transcript of the gene named P2R1A-PPP2R2A-interacting phosphatase regulator 1-like, with no coding region annotated. NCBI's taxonomy places the organism in Eukaryota, Metazoa, Chordata, Lepidosauria, Squamata, Lacertidae. The record is from RefSeq and is a predicted model, not a curated record. The transcript is spliced from 12 exons.